GAUGAACGCUGGCGGCGUGCUUAACACAUGCAAGUCGAACGGAGAACCCUUGAUAGAGGCUUCGGCCAAUUGAUAGGAAUUCUUAGUGGCGGACGGGUGAGUAACGCGUGAGGAACCUGCCUUGGAGUGGGGAAUAACAGUUAGAAAUAGCUGCUAAUACCGCAUGAUGCAUUUGGAUCGCAUGGUCUGGAUGCCAAAGAUUUAUCGCUCUGAGAUGGCCUCGCGUCUGAUUAGAUAGUUGGCGGGGUAACGGCCCACCAAGUCGACGAUCAGUAGCCGGACUGAGAGGUUGGCCGGCCACAUUGGGACUGAGACACGGCCCAG
This 324-nucleotide ribosomal RNA is filed under the name uncultured bacterium. RNAcentral's name for it is "bacterial SSU rRNA". It matches the Rfam family "Bacterial small subunit ribosomal RNA", at positions 28 to 334 of the family's 1533-position model. The record is from RNAcentral.